GCUGGGCGUGGUGGCGCACACCUGUAAUCCCAGCUACUCAGGAGGCUGAGGCAGGAGAAUCGCUUGAGCACAGGAGGCAGAUGUUGCAGUGAGCCGAGAUGGUGCCACUGCACACCAGCCUGGGCAACAGAGGGAGACUCAGUCUCAA
Pan troglodytes (chimpanzee) is the source of this 148-nucleotide non-coding RNA. It matches the Rfam family "Metazoan signal recognition particle RNA". Rfam says of the family: The signal recognition particle (SRP) is a universally conserved ribonucleoprotein. It is involved in the co-translational targeting of proteins to membranes. The eukaryotic SRP consists of a 300-nucleotide 7S RNA and six proteins: SRPs 72, 68, 54, 19, 14, and 9. The record is from Rfam. NCBI's taxonomy places the organism in Eukaryota, Metazoa, Chordata, Mammalia, Primates, Hominidae.